AAUUAAUGAGCUUGUAUAAGCAUAUGUUUUGAAAACAUAAGAAAGUAUAAAAUUACUAUUAAUUU
This 65-nucleotide transfer RNA is filed under the name Apochrysa matsumurae. RNAcentral's name for it is "tRNA-Ser". The record is from RNAcentral. Lineage: Eukaryota; Metazoa; Arthropoda; Insecta; Neuroptera; Chrysopidae.